CACAGAAUUCUUGUUUCAGAAGAAUUUCUUGUUUUAUUCUUGGAAAUACCAGCUCUAGAGGGUCUGUGGUUCAGCUCAGAGCACGAAGCAGCAUCUCCCUGGGACAAGUUAACUCCACAACAGCUCUGAGGCAGAACUGGCCCUGGAAGGAAACAAUGCUUCAGCUCCCUGGAAAGAAGCCUUAAUGCCUGUUGGGAGGCCAUGAGAUAGCUGGGGAAACUCAAGAAAAGUCCAGUCCUGGUGCCGUGAUGUGCUGACAUACAGGAUGACAAGAAACAACAAGGGCUGUGAGACACACAGGAUUGAGUCUCUCUCAAGGCCAAUCUGCUUACACUGGGCAGAUUAAACACCAACUGGAAGACAAAAUCAAGGCCUCAUGCAGUGAAUAACACAAGUGGAGAGCUGAGGUGCAGCUGUAAGGAGGUGUUCCAGCACCACCAAGAAAUACCUUGCUAUCACACAACAUGCACUAUAUCCAUAGCUGGGGUCACAUGCAGAGGAUUAACAAAGCAAGCAGGAGCCAGGUGACAAUGGUUUUCCACUCUGGGAGUGUCUGAUCCUUCUUGAGGAAGAGACUGUCUGAAUCCACUGGAUUCCUGAGCAGCUCAGCCUGUGACAGACACAAAGUGCAAUCACAGCCCUUGAAACCUGAUGAGCCCCUCAAGUACAGUGAAACAAUUCCAGACAUACACAUGUGACAUGGGAAGAAUCAGGUGCCAAAAAUUUCUCUUUUGCCAUAAAGGGUAAAAAAUACUCAUUCUAAAAGGUAAAAUAAAAUGAAGUUUAUAUAUAAGUGUUUAUACA
Molecule: long non-coding RNA, 804 nt
Filed under: Cyanistes caeruleus (blue tit)
Lineage: Eukaryota; Metazoa; Chordata; Aves; Passeriformes; Paridae
Description: lncRNA (ENSCCEG00000012047.1)
Source: RNAcentral